GACAUGCACUUAGUGGAAGCAGUGAAAGCUCUGAUAAGUGCUCAUGUUGGUUACCAUUCACGAGACCAUAACAAGGACCUGCUGCCAGCCAUCAUGUCCUGGUCCUGACCUGCCUUUGGGAGGCUGACUCAGCCGUCUAGGUUGGCGAGCGGGUUCCUGCUUCUGGUCACCAGCCACGAUGGUGCAGUGACCAGCCACCAUGGUGCAUGCAUGGGUAGAUCUGUCUGAUAUAAAGUGUUAAUGCAGGCUU
Rhipicephalus microplus (southern cattle tick) is the source of this 250-nucleotide long non-coding RNA. The record is from RefSeq and is a predicted model, not a curated record. Lineage: Eukaryota; Metazoa; Arthropoda; Arachnida; Ixodida; Ixodidae.